AGAAAUCAUCAUGCCUCCAGCAGCCUUAGGACAGAUAUUGUAUGAAGCCAUUGAAUUAAUUCUCAGUGGAACACACAUUCCAGUUAAAGAACGAACUCAGCUACAGAUAGUAGCAUACAAAAAGAUCAGCCUAUAUAAACUGGAAUUGAAGACCCGGAAUCUGGGAAGCAGGAAAAGAGGAUUGUUUCAAAAAGCAAAAGAGUUGCCAAAAAGAGUGAAAGAAAAAACAUUAUCAGAAGUUUCAGCAAGGAAACAAAAGCUGCUGGCUCAAAACAGUUGUAUGAUAUCAUUUCAAAGUACUUUCAUGGCACAAAGAGAUCGCAAAUUCUUGACUGGCUAAAGGAAAGUAAAACUAUGACAAAGCUCCGGCCAAAAUUUUCCAAUAAAGCACCAUUGAAACCAGUGUAUUCUGUUGCUCCCAUGGAGGGACACCAGAUAGACAUUGUGGACCUGUCUGCAGUAGCAGAAGAAAAAGAUGGGAAAACGUACAAAUAUGUGUUGUCUAUUUUGGAUAACUUUUCCAGAUUUCUGUGACUUGUCCCAAUAACGGAUGAGUCUUCAGAAACAGCGGCAAAAUCAUUGACUGAUUUAUUUAGACAAUCAGUGGGGCACCCCUAAAAUUAUCCAAACAGAUCAAGGGGGUGAAUUCAAAGGCAUGGUGACCCUCUGUGGCAGACUUGGCGUGCGACUCAUCCAUUCGAGGGCCUAUCAUCCCCAAUCCUAAGGAAAAGUAUGUUUAGUCAGAUGUAAGUGUUAAAAAAAACCCAACAUUCUGAUGGCUGGCAAGAGAGGCUAUACUGCAAGACACAACUUAGGAGGUGGUGACAGCAUGUUUCUUGCACUCAGCAGAUAUAUCAUCAGAGGAUUUAGAGGUCAAUGCACUUGAAGUUAGGCACACGGUGGUUGACCAUCUGCAGGAAACUCCCCGAACGAUUGAUGGAACACAUAUGAAGAACUUGGUUCCGGAAAAAAAGUCAUGGAACAAGUAUGUGGACAAGAUGCUAAAGAAAGGGACAUGGGGAGAUAAUCUCAUGCUCCUGAUGGGAGCGGCAGACGUCCCAGAUGUAACAAUUACAGUUAUCAGCACAUGGUCAGAAGAGCCUAUAGUCAUGAAACCCAGGGAGACAAAGGCCGGGCUCGGAACACUAUGUGUAGGUCAUCUGUCAGGGUUUCACUACGUCAGCUUGGAAAAAAUAGCUACAUUAGCGCUGACAAUUCUUGUAAGCAGUGAGUUCAAUCAAUAAAGAGUUAACUGCUAUCAUCAUCUAUAUUUUCCUUUGCUUAUAGUUGUAUCAUGUAGAUAGAUCACACAUCUCUGCCCUGGAAUCAAUAUCUGUAUCUUAGACUAGUUUAAACUAUUCCAUAUAAUCUGGGUCCUCAGUGUGUCCCGUCAUAUAAUUUUAAAACCUAAUGUAGAUACUGGGUUCGUGGGUUAAAGCAGUGUGAAGAUGAACAUGAUAAAUAAUAUUAGUAGUAGAUUUAACAUAAAAUGAUUUAUUCCAGUUUCUCCCAAUUCGAGAUCAAGCACCCACAGCAUUGCUUUAAUGUAAGUCAGCAAAAUAAUAAAUAUGUGGUGGUGUUUCAUAUUUUAUCGUUCAAAUAAUCUUUCUAUUCUUCAGGCCAGAAGUGCAGAACUUGCCACCAAACCCUAAGUGUCUGCAAAUGUGCUUUGGAAAGAGAUACGCCAACCACUUCUACUGGCCAAAGAAACUUGUAGGUAAGUGUUGGUAUAAUCAUGGAUCAAAUAAUUGCAGUUAUACCCAAACCAACAAAAGUUGCUGGGUCGUCACACUUUGAAAUUGAUCAACAAAUAUGGGAAUAUGCAAUGAACUGUGUGGACACAAGCAGUUGAGAACUGCACUAAAUGUUUGUACCUGCACUCAUCAUCAGUGCUUUUAUUGUUAAUGUGUGUUCACAUAUUUUUCAUGUUUCAAAGAAUUGACAGUUGUCAAAUGUAAUGGUUCUGGUUUUCAUUGAUAUUGUGAUGUUCAUUGUAUUCAAUAUAACAACAUUUUAAAUUAUUUUAAAGAGAGCACUAUGAAAAUAAUAAGGAGUAUAGCUGACAAACACAAGUACAGUCAUACAUGUAAUGGUUAUACAGUGAGGGUUCUUAUUUUCAUGGAGAGGUGAAAUCCUUCAGAGAGCAUUUUAGUAUGGCAUAUUACGGAGAAUUCAGUGCUUUUUACACGAGUGUCCAUCGGAUGGACUCCAUCCUGUAACAUAUUUCAUUUCACACUGGACGAAUAGCUUCACUUUAUACUCUCUUGUUACUGUUGGCCUAAUUGUUCAUCACAGUGUUUCAGUUUUACAAAUUGUGAAAUGCUGAAGGACAUAAACUAAGAACUUUUGAAAUUUUGUCUGUUCUUUAAUAAAAUUGUCUAUCCCAUAACAGCUCCCAUGUUUGAAAUGCUAUGUCAGUUUUUCACAUUCAGUUUCAUGUUUAUUUUAAGAGAUGACGAAUAUAUGUAUGUUUUUCUUUUUAGAACAGUAACUGGAAAAGACUGUUUACAUUAGUAUCUGAGGAGAGAUCAUAACUAUUUUAUCAAAGUGUCCUUCUUGUAACACAGAUGUCUUUCCCGUAACACAGCAAUAUUUGAGCUCAAAUUGACAAACUGACUGAAACAAGCAUUCAAAAGGAUGAAGCUUUUAAGGUUAUGAUUCCACUUUAACAAUUAACUGAUUCAGAUGAAUGUAUUGUUGGCUCAUCUGGUAACCAUUAAGAUUUAUGUGUUACACAUCCUAACCAAUAUAUGUAAAAUGAUAUGACAAGUUGAUUUGUUUCACAUAUUUGAACUAUUCUUAUUUUUAUCUAAAACUGAACAUCAUUACUUUAAGAGAUUCUGAGAGUUAUUAUUCUUAUCAAACAACCUUGUUUAACUGAAUCUUGACCAAUUUUAAAACUGUUACAGGAAAGACAUUUGCCACCUCUGCUACAGGAUAAAAUAUUUAAAAAAUAUUGUGCCAAAGGGUUGUAAGAUUGCAAUUUGUUAUUUUCACACUUUACAGUUGCUGUUAAAAGCAAAUAUGAAAAUAAACUUUUCAUUUUGAGAGACUGGAUUUUAUCUUUUUUCAAUCUUCAAAUUCUGUCAUUUUUUUAUAAUGACUCAUAUAUUUCAGAUUGAUGGAACACAUAUGAAGAACUUGGUUCCGGAAAAAAAGUCAUGGAACAAGUAUGUGGACAAGAUGCUAAAGAAAGGGACAUGGGGAGAUAAUCUCAUGCUGCUGAUGGGAGCGGCAGACGUCCCAGAAGUAACAAUUACAGUUAUCAGCACAUGGUCAGAAGAGCCUAUAGUCAUGAAACCCAGGGAGACAAAGGCCGGCCUCGGAACACUAUGUGUACUUAUUUUGUAUAAAAGCACUUUUUGUAAUUUAUUUUGGAUGAUUCAUAUUUUCAUCAUAAAAUACACUUAAUAAUCAUAUAGUUUUUGCAAAUUUGUCUUCAGAAUAAGUUUUAGCAAUUCUUAAAACAAGUCCCUAAAAACAAUGUCAUUACUGCAACAGAGAAUCAUUUACAAAAAUAUGGUCUAAGGGAGGCAACUUUCCUAGUGUGGUCACAUGACCCUAAGUUUGCAGUGGAGGGAAGCAUGGAUGGCAUGGAUGGCAUGGAUGCCAUGUAUGCAUCCCUUCACAUCAUCAGCCUAUUUUCUUGAUAUUCUUCUAAAAGUGCAGCAUUUUGAGUGAGUAUGUUUAUCUAUCGUCAUUACCAUAUACUUAAGAUACCUUAUACUGUUGUACCUGUUAGUUCCAUAAUUCACUUAAACUUUAAAUGAGGUUGAUAUGCAACAAUUUCUGAGCAAUGUAGACUGCUUAAAAUGUAUGGAGAGUUGUUUUAGCCAUAAUUGUAAAAAAAUGUCAUAACCACAACAGUCAUUACCAAAACAGCAAGGUAGGUUUUGGUAAUGACAAAGCAUUUUGGUAAUGACUUCUUGAGAUUGAAAUUGAUAAACAAUUAACAAUACUUAUUGAGAGCAGUUCAUCGUUUAAAUUAUUACAGAUCUAAAAGAAUGCAAUAUCAAUUCAAACUUAUAUUAUCUGAAAAUUAUUGAGACUAUUACAAGAAUAACUGAGAAUGUAAUGGAAUGUAUGAAAAACAAUGUUAUUAUUUAACAAAAUAUUAUUCAACAAUUACAUGCAAGUAUAUCUUUUUCAGAAUGAGUGUGGAAAAUGAGUUUAAGAAGAUAUAUAGAAAAAUUAGAUAAGUCUCUUGAAUCAACUGAAAAAGAAUUUUAUGACUUGCUAAGUGAAGUGUAUUCUCGAUCGGAUCCUUACUUCAGAACUUGGGCUAAGCAAGUUGUUGACUUAUAUGAAGCUAUUCUCUACCUGAGAGAAAACAUCAAACGUUACACCAAGCUAUUAAAAGAAGACCAUGGGGUUAACUAAUAAGGAAAGAAGUAGACGAUUUAUGACAAAGCUAAAAGAAAAUCCAGAGAAACAAAGAAUAUCUUGAAAAGGAAAGAGAAAGAUACCAAAAAAGGAAAGAAAGAAAACAACUCUGAGGAAUUGAAGUUCUCUUUCAGAUUAAA
Molecule: long non-coding RNA, 4523 nt
Organism: Haliotis rufescens (red abalone)
Lineage: Eukaryota; Metazoa; Mollusca; Gastropoda; Lepetellida; Haliotidae
Exons: 3
Source: RefSeq, a predicted model, not a curated record